Pelobates cultripes (western spadefoot toad) is the source of this 503-nucleotide non-coding RNA. The record is from the annotation of a GenBank genome assembly. Lineage: Eukaryota; Metazoa; Chordata; Amphibia; Anura; Pelobatidae.
CUCGUUUGUUGUGUCCUCCCUUGUCUGAGAAAGCUCCUCUUGAAGACUGUAGACCAAGCGGCACCCACUUACGCACACCUCACAGUUGAUGACCAAGAUUUCCAAAAAGUCAACUCGCCCUGUAUACUGCUACAAUCUAUCCCGUUUAUUGAUAAAGUGCAAGAGUUCUAGGAAGGGACCAGCUUAGGGACAGCAUCUGUCUGUCUGGGAAGUCUACCGUGCGGAGAUGUGGUGGGUUAGCCACCUCGGGAUACCCAUGGAGUGAAGUGUUCGAGUGCCCAGCGGACAGAUGAGUUAGCCAAUUAGGGACAGACAAAGGGACAGCUUUGCACUUUGCAAUAACACCUAGCUAGCGGGUCACGGGGUUUCUGUGCCUUUGGGCUAACACGUCUUCUGAUACUAACAAAUAAAGAUUAUCUUUUAGAAUCUAACAUUUCAUAGGGGGGACUGAUGUAGAAUUAUUAAAAUCUUUAUUAGAACCUGUAUUGAAUUAUUGUACUAAC